RNAcentral lists this ribosomal RNA (460 nucleotides) under uncultured bacterium. Its description in RNAcentral is "partial 16S ribosomal RNA". It matches the Rfam family "Bacterial small subunit ribosomal RNA", at positions 338 to 795 of the family's 1533-position model. The record is from RNAcentral.
CCUACGGGUGGCAGCAGUGAGGAAUAUUGGUCAAUGGGCGCGAGCCUGAACCAGCCAAGUCGCGUGAAGGAUGAAGGCUCUAUGGUUUGUAAACUUCUUUUAUAUAGGAAUAAAGUGAGGAACGUGUUCCUUUUUGUAUGUACUAUAUGAAUAAGCAUCGGCUGACUCCGUGCCAGCAGCCGCGGUAAUACGGAGGAUCCGAGCGUUAUCCGGAUUUAUUGGGUUUAAAGGGUGCGUAGAUGGGUUGUUAAGUCAGUGGUGAAAGUUUGUGGCUCAACCGUAAAAUUGCAGUUGAUACUGGUAGACUUGAGUAUAUUUGAGGUAGGCGGAAUGCGUGGUGUAGCGGUGAAAUGCAUAGAUAUCACGAAGAACUCCGAUUGCGAAGGCAGCUUACUAAACUAUAACUGACACUGAUGCACGAAAGUGUGGGGAUCAAACAGGAUUAGAUACCCGAGUAGUC